Haliotis rubra (blacklip abalone) is the source of this 663-nucleotide long non-coding RNA. RefSeq lists it as uncharacterized. The transcript is spliced from 5 exons. NCBI's taxonomy places the organism in Eukaryota, Metazoa, Mollusca, Gastropoda, Lepetellida, Haliotidae. The record is from RefSeq and is a predicted model, not a curated record.
CCUGCAGAGUGAUGCCUACCACGCUGAACUGGUCCUGGAGGCAGACUCUACACUGUGGCUGGUGAGGAGGUGCCAGGCCUACAACUGUGAGGGACAUUGUGUCUGUGCUGUGCAGGGCGGUACCUGUUCUGCCAGUAAAGCAUGUGUACAAGACAAAACAGGGGCCAACACUGUCACAGUCGUCGACACCAUCAACCUCUUGUUUCCAGCAGAAGUUGACAUGUCUCCUUUCAACACUUUCAUGGCUGCCAACUGGUCUCUACGAAUACAGUGUAGGAGUUAGUGAAAAGGAUUUACCGGAUGGAGUGUUCAAGAAAUCUUCCCAAAGAGUAUGGUUUGAUGCAGGUCAACAAACAUCAGCGAUUUUGUCCUUGGACAAAGGUAGCUUUCUGACACCUGGAAUACAAUACUCCUUCUUCGUGAAAGCUUGGUAGAAUAACAGAAAUUACAGCAUCUUCAAGUCAAAUGGUGUCACUUUCGUUACAUCACCACCCACGGUAACAAGAAAGUCAGGGAGAACUGUGAAGGAAGUCCUAAACAUCAGUGACUCCAAAGACAUAGACUUCCAGACACAGAACAACACACUUGUCGUAACGUGGUCUGGACAUUUCCUGCCUGGUAUAAGCAGCAUCCAUCGAUACAGGGUCUACAUCAGCACGCACA